UCCCAAAUUUUGGCUUGACAAAAUUCCACCAAAAAUUCAAUCUAAAUUGGGGUUCAAAGAAUUUCAGAUUACAAAAUCAAUACAAAAGCUUAAAAUAAAAUAAAAUAAAAAACACCAAAUUAGUAUUUCAUAUCUCAAAAACUGUACAUGUUGCUACUUCCUAUGUGCGUGCUCCUUCUCUAUCUCUCACUCAAUCCCCAAAUGGGUUUUUUCAUAUCCCCAAACCCAUAGUUCCUCUGUGCAUGCUGCUUCUCUCUCUUACUCAAUCCCCAAACAGGUUUUUUAAUUUUCCCAAACUCAUAGUUCCUCUGUAUGUGUUGCUCCCUCUGUGCAUGUAGCUUCUCUCUCUGUAUGUGCUGCUUCUCCAGUUCUCCUUCUCUGUGUGCUGCUCCAAUUGGGGUUUUAUUCUUCUUCCUCUCUGUUCAGAACUCCAGAUGCUUCUUGCUGCUGUUUGAACUUUGAAUCAAU
Molecule: long non-coding RNA, 468 nt
Filed under: Amborella trichopoda
Lineage: Eukaryota; Viridiplantae; Streptophyta; Magnoliopsida; Amborellales; Amborellaceae
Description: long non-coding RNA (ATRI_LNC005507)
Source: RNAcentral